Molecule: non-coding RNA, 58 nt
Filed under: Chaetoceros affinis
Lineage: Eukaryota; Bacillariophyta; Thalassiosirophyceae; Chaetocerotales; Chaetocerotaceae
Source: RNAcentral
UGGUGGCGCACACUUGUAAUCCCAGCUACUUGGGAAGCUGAGGCACGAGAAUCGCUUG